RNAcentral lists this ribosomal RNA (447 nucleotides) under uncultured bacterium. RNAcentral describes it as "bacterial SSU rRNA". It matches the Rfam family "Bacterial small subunit ribosomal RNA", at positions 328 to 793 of the family's 1533-position model. The record is from RNAcentral.
UGUCCAGACUCCUACGGGAGGCAGCAGUGGGGAAUAUUGCACAAUGGGGGAAACCCUGAUGCAGCGACGCCGCGUGAGUGAAGAAGUAUUUCGGUAUGUAAAGCUCUAUCAGCAGGGAAGAAAAUGACGGUACCUGACUAAGAAGCCCCGGCUAACUACGUGCCAGCAGCCGCGGUAAUACGUAGGGAGCGAGCGCUGUCCGGAAUUACUGGGUGUAAAGGGAGCGUAGGCGGGCGAGAAAGUUGAAUGUUAAAUCUACCGGCUUAACUGGUAGCUGCGUUCAAAACUUCUUGUCUUGAGUGAAGUAGAGGCAGGCGGAAUUCCUAGUGUAGCGGUGAAAUGCGUAGAUAUUAGGAGGAACACCAGUGGCGAAGGCGGCCUGCUGGACAGCAACUGACGGUGAGGCGCGAAAGCGUGGGGAGCAAACAGGAUUAGAUACCCGCGUAC